GCGCGCGGGGCUGCGGGGAGGAACCUGCGUCCUCCGCUUCUCCCCGGCCGGGCCCGGGUGCCCCGCUCGGGGCCGGGGCGCUGGGGAAGGAAGGCGGGGGGGGCCGGGAAGCCCCUUCUCAGCCCGGCGGGUCGGGAGCGCUGCGGGGCGCGGAGCCGUGGUCACCGUGCGGGCGCUGCCCCGCCGCCACCUACCUCCCACUCGGAACAUCUGUGAGAGCUGAAAGAAAGCCCUUGGGAGGCUGCAGCACUAUCCGGCUGGUUCCCCCCAGACACAACAGCACUGCUGUAUCGGGGACCAAAUAAAAGAAGCUAGAAGUUAGGUGGGGGGUUAUUUUCACUCUUGUGGUUUACUGCCUGGUUAGUGAAACAGAGGAUAAAAUUUGAAGGCAGGAGAGUAGUAAAAGCAAAUAGUUGGCUUGUCGCAGUUGUUAUCAAUUAAACAAAACACCUUCGAGCUCCUUCCCUCAGUUGAAGCCUGCACUGUGACAUGAGAGGAAUUUCCCACGCUCUGAAGCUUACCACGUCCUCAUCCAGCAAGGAGUGAAUUUCAGUGGAAGCAGACUCUCCCUCCCGUGAACUGAAGGCGUGGCUUAGAUAUGAGGAGGGCAGCUUCUGAAGGUACAGAAUUUGCCUUUCCAAAAUCGUGAGCAAACAAACAGCCCAGGAAUUCCCACAGUCCCGAGCUGCCCCUCCAGGAUGACAGCCUGAAAGCAGCAAGAUAAAACCUUAUUUAUAGCUGCCUGACUUAGGCAUGCGUAACAGCCCAAAUAAAUAAAGAAUGCCAUUUGUAUACCUUA
Long non-coding RNA from Numida meleagris (helmeted guineafowl), 799 nucleotides. RefSeq lists it as uncharacterized. NCBI's taxonomy places the organism in Eukaryota, Metazoa, Chordata, Aves, Galliformes, Numididae. The transcript has 2 exons. The record is from RefSeq and is a predicted model, not a curated record.